CAAGGUGAAAUAGAGACGUUGAGAGACUUUGUGGCUCGUUUCAAUACAGCCAUACUUGAGGUCAGGGACCUCAAUGAAGACAUAGCUAUAUCGACCAUGAAGAGGGGUCUAAGGAGAUCGAGAUUCACUUACUCUUUAGACAAAACUCUCCCUCAGACCUAUGCUGAAUUUCUAGAGCACGCGUACAAGUAUAUUCAUGUG
RNAcentral lists this long non-coding RNA (201 nucleotides) under Elaeis guineensis (African oil palm). RNAcentral's name for it is "long non-coding RNA (EGUI_LNC004828)". The record is from RNAcentral. Lineage: Eukaryota; Viridiplantae; Streptophyta; Magnoliopsida; Arecales; Arecaceae.